UGGGGAAUAUUGCACAAUGGGCGCAAGCCUGAUGCAGCAACGCCGCGUGAACGAUGAAGGUCUUCGGAUCGUAAAGUUCUGUUGCAGGGGAAGAUAAUGACGGUACCCUGUGAGGAAGCCCCGGCUAACUACGUGCCAGCAGCCGCGGUAAUACGUAUGGGGCGAGCGUUGUCCGGAAUUAUUGGGCGUAAAGGGUACGUAGGUGGUUUUUUAAGUCAGGUGUCAAAGCGUGGAGCUUAACUCCAUUAAGCACUUGAAACUGAAAGACUUGAGUGAAGGAGAGGAAAGUGGAAUUCCUAGUGUAGCGGUGAAAUGCGUAGAUAUUAGGAGGAAUACCGGUGGCGAAGGCGACUUUCUGGACUUUUACUGACGCUCAGGUACGAAAGCGUGGGGAGCAAACAGG
Molecule: ribosomal RNA, 403 nt
Filed under: Verrucomicrobiota bacterium
Lineage: Bacteria; Pseudomonadati; Verrucomicrobiota
Description: Verrucomicrobia bacterium partial 16S ribosomal RNA
Rfam family: Bacterial small subunit ribosomal RNA
Source: RNAcentral